Molecule: long non-coding RNA, 595 nt
Organism: Vicia villosa (hairy vetch)
Lineage: Eukaryota; Viridiplantae; Streptophyta; Magnoliopsida; Fabales; Fabaceae
Exons: 3
Source: RefSeq, a predicted model, not a curated record
AAUUUUAUCUAAGCCUUUUGUAAUAACCAAUGCUAUGUCGGUUCAUAUUCUCUCGAAAGAUACAUAAUUGCUCCGAAAAAAACAAAGACAACAAAUUCAUUUGAUUCUCAAUGCAAACCCUUCAAUUCUAAUUUCUCUCCUCUUAAUCUAACUUUUCUUUUCCCGAUCCCUUCUCAUAAAUGUUACUUUUCUCCCAAUUUAUAUAUAAUGGAACAAACAAAAGGACAAAGGAAGCCAGAUCAGAACCAUCCUUUUCUUAACCCAAAUCCUAAACAAAAAAAACACUAAUUUCACAAAAUUAUUGUGCUCGUCUUCUUCGUCAGCUACUCUUCUCACUGAACAUUGCAAAUUUAGAACUACCACCAACUCAUCCAAUUAGGCCCUACCUUGCUCCGAACUUCUCCAUUUUUUACUAUGAAAUCCUUAACUCUCCUGAUCGUGCCUGCAAUCUUGCAAAACAGAACCAAAACCAUCUGAGUUGUAUGGGAAAUAUAUUUGAAAGAUAGAAAAGUUUUCUCAAAUUACCCUAAGGGAACUUUGUAGUAAUGCAUUUGAAAUUGGAAAUAACAAGUGGUAUGUGGCUUUUGGAUUUCAG